This 497-nucleotide ribosomal RNA is filed under the name uncultured bacterium. Its description in RNAcentral is "partial 16S ribosomal RNA". It matches the Rfam family "Bacterial small subunit ribosomal RNA", at positions 28 to 507 of the family's 1533-position model. The record is from RNAcentral.
GAUGAACGCUGGCGGCGUGCCUAAUACAUGCAAGUCGAGCGAACAGAUAAGGAGCUUGCUCCUUUGACGUUAGCGGCGGACGGGUGAGUAACACGUGGGUAACCUAUCUAUAAGACUGGAAUAACUCCGGGAAACCGGGGCUAAUGCCGGAUAACAUGUUGAACCGCAUGGUUCUACAGUGAAAGGCGGCUUUGCUGUCACUUAUAGAUGGACCCGCGCCGUAUUAGCUAGUUGGUGAGGUAACGGCUCACCAAGGCAACGAUAGGUAGCCGACCUGAGGGGGUGAUCGGCCACACUGGAACUGAGACACGGUCCAGACUCCUACGGGAGGCAGCAGUAGGGAAUCUUCCGCAAUGGGCGAAAGCCUGACGGAGCAACGCCGCGUGAGUGAUGAAGGUCUUCGGAUCGUAAAACUCUGUUAUUAGGGAAGAACAAAUGCGUAAGUAACUGUGCGCGUCUUGACGGUACCUAAUCAGAAAGCCACGGCUAACUACGUG